UUGGAGGGAUUAGACUGAGCAGUAGAAGUGGUUUACCACCAUGGUCCAGCACAGGCAAGCAAGCCAAUGAAUUAUCUAGGGCCCAGAGCUGACAUGGGGGAUGCAUCCCAUUACAGUAGCCAGCCAGCCAGGUUCGUCAUUCCUGCAGCUGGCAAAAUAUGGAACUUGAUCAGGAUACCAGAAAAAAGCAGAGAAAGGAAGAGGAAGAAAAGAAAAAAACAAGACAGCGAUUCAACUGAAUGCAACGAGACUGAUUGAAAGGAGCUUCUCAGUACAGAUGGACAAUAAGGAGCAUUUCACUGCUCACUCAAGACAAAACUAAAGCCUGAAGAAAGACAGCAUCAUAAAGGAGGAAACUGUGUUCGGUGUCGUCUGCGGUUCCAGACUUCAUUCAGUCACUGUCUGCGAAAGAUUCUCAACAAAGAUUUUAAAAUGAACAUUUUAUUUUAAGUGAAGUUCACUUGUUUCAUUACUUUAGAGCUGCUGAAGUAAGGAGGCUUGGUAAAAAAAUGGUUACAAUUUCUAAACAGGUCAUGGGAUAUUUUUAUUCCAUCCCUUGAAAUAAACUUGAAGGCCUUUCUACACUUCUAUUGCUAAAGAUCAUCAUUGUCACUGUGUAAAUAUUUAUAGACCUAAAUAUAUCUAGAAAAUACACAGUUAUGAAUGUUUUAUACGAUUCUAGAGAUGUAUGAAUAUUUGUGAAUAUUGGAUUACACUCGGACGCCUUGGUUUGUGUUCAUGUUUUAUGAAGUGUGUGCUUCUGUCCCGGGACCCCUCAUUGCCCGUCCUUUGUCGGGACGUGGAGUUGAGGCCAUACAGCUGGUCACUGUCAAACCCAAGCUUUGGGUUUCCCAAGCUUCAACUUCAACAGGCUUCAGCCCCCACCACUCUCUCUCUCUCUCUCUCUCUCUGUCCAAGCCCUCUCCUUACCUUUUCUUCAAACAGUCCCUCCCUUCGUCCACUUAGCUCUUCUUCUUUAAACAAUCUCUCCCUCCCCUCCCUUUCUAAUGCUCUCUCACUCUUUCGCGCCCUCAUGCUCUUGCUUGCUCUCUCUCUCUCUACCUCCCCUUUUUCUCUCUAUUUCUCUCACUCUUUCGUACUCUCUUUCUUGCUAUCGCUCUCUUUCUCUCACUCUCUCUCUCCCGCUCUCUCUUCAACAGGCUGCUCGCUUCCACACACUCUGUGAAUGAAGUUAGUGCAGUGGAGGACAGCCCCUCCCCACACCUCCUCCACCCCACACCACCACCUCCUCCUCGUUCUUCCCACUACUCCCUAGCAGACACACUCGCUGGAUUGUUUGUUAAUAGUCCAAUUAGAUAAUUGCCAUCUUUCUCCCCUUGUGCUCUCUCUUUCCCAUACAGCAGUGAAAGGCUUUA
Long non-coding RNA from Astyanax mexicanus (Mexican tetra), 1376 nucleotides. RefSeq lists it as uncharacterized. The record is from RefSeq and is a predicted model, not a curated record. NCBI's taxonomy places the organism in Eukaryota, Metazoa, Chordata, Actinopteri, Characiformes, Acestrorhamphidae. The transcript is spliced from 3 exons.